RNAcentral lists this unclassified non-coding RNA (729 nucleotides) under Lespedeza sp. NY199. RNAcentral describes it as "partial contains small subunit ribosomal RNA, internal transcribed spacer 1, 5.8S ribosomal RNA, internal transcribed spacer 2, and large subunit ribosomal RNA". The stretch from base 318 to 473 matches the Rfam family "5.8S ribosomal RNA". Lineage: Eukaryota; Viridiplantae; Streptophyta; Magnoliopsida; Fabales; Fabaceae. The record is from RNAcentral.
ACCUUAUCAUUUAGAGGAAGGAGAAGUCGUAACAAGGUUUCCGUAGGUGAACCUGCGGNAGGAUCAUUGUCGAUGCCUCGCAAUCAGUUUGACCGGCGAACUUGUUUAUCCAACCUGCAGGGUUGGCUCGGGGUGCCUUGGCAUCUCGCGUCCUCCCCUGCGCCGGGAGGGGGCCGCGCCCUGCUCGGCUUCCUCCCNGGCACANCACUCAAACCCCGGCGCUUCGUGCGCCAAGGAAUCCAAAUUUGUUCGGCGCGGCCCGGGGGACCCGGAGACGGUGUUCCCGUGGGCCUGGCCACGACACAACGAAAAAGAACGACUCUCGGCAACGGAUAUCUCGGCUCUUGCAUCGAUGAAGAACGUAGCGAAAUGCGAUACUUGGUGUGAAUUGCAGAAUCCCGUGAACCAUCGAGUCUUUGAACGCAAGUUGCGCCCGAAGCCAUUAGGCCGAGGGCACGCCUGCCUGGGUGUCACACAUCGUUACCCUCGCGCCAACGUCCGUCGUUGGCCGCGGCGCGGGGCGUGUGCUGACCUCCCGCGAGCGGGGCCUCGUGGUUGGUUGAAAAUCGAGUUCGCGGUCGGGCGUGCCGUGAUAAAAUGGUGGACGGGCGACGCCCGAGUCCAAUCACGCGCGACCCUGUCCGGCUUGGACUCCUGGACCCCUUCGGCGUCUCCGGACGCUCCUUAGCGAGACCUCAGGUCAGGCGGGGCUACCCGCUGAGUUUAAGC